Molecule: ribosomal RNA, 301 nt
Filed under: uncultured bacterium
Lineage: Bacteria
Description: partial 16S ribosomal RNA
Rfam family: Bacterial small subunit ribosomal RNA
Source: RNAcentral
CAGCAGCCGCGGGAAUACGAAGGGUGCAAGCGUUAAUCGGAAUUACUGGGCGUAAAGCGUGCGUAGGCGGUGAGUUAAGUCUGCUGUGAAAUCCCCGGGCUCAACCUGGGAAUGGCAGUGGAUACUGGCUCGCUAGAGUGUGUCAGAGGAUGGUGGAAUUCCCGGUGUAGCGGUGAAAUGCGUAGAGAUCGGGAGGAACAUCAGUGGCGAAGGCGACUAUCUGGGCCAACACUGACACUGAGGCACGAAAGCGUGGGGAGCAAACAGGAUUAGAUACCCGCGUAGUCCCUGUCUCUUAUAC